Molecule: long non-coding RNA, 1246 nt
Organism: Lycium barbarum (goji berry)
Lineage: Eukaryota; Viridiplantae; Streptophyta; Magnoliopsida; Solanales; Solanaceae
Exons: 3
Source: RefSeq, a predicted model, not a curated record
GACCCGACCCAGAUCGUUCAAAGCAUUAAAGGGGUAAUACCCACCCCUCCCCCCUUUUAUUUCAUUUUACCCAUUUCAGAAAAAAAAAAAAACAUCCCCCUCCCUUUUCUCUCUCUUCCUCUUUCAUGUUAAAACCCGAGCGUCGCCUGCAAUUUUCUCUCUCUCUCGUCUAGAAAUGGAAAGUUAAAGCGCGUGUGUAAGACAUGCAGUUUUGUAGUGACAGUUUUUUGUAAAGAAAUUAAUGUUAAGGUCGUAUUUACUCGAAUCUUGCCCGAAUAGAUUUACGAGUAUGGACGGAUAAGCGUAGAUAAUAGGAGGCCUCACAGGUUCAGGUAGUCAUUUGGAUGAGCAAGACCAGUAGGAUCUCCUCAGUCGCACUCAGUGCGCUCCACUUGAUCCGAAGCUACAACUUUUGGUAUGCUAUUUAUGAGGUGUACAUAUGUGGGUAUAACAGGGCCUUGUCCUGUCUUUCUAUGGCUAGACUCCAUAGAGGUCUAUAGACAGUCGUAUAUAGUGGGAAUAUCAUGUAGCUUUGUGGUCUCCUAUUUUCCUUACAGCGCAUGUAGCGACCAUGUCGGACUAUGUUGUCAUCCGUUGUACGUAUGCCUAUAUAUACAUAUCCACGUGUAUAAAUUAUGAGUUUUUCAAGACAGAGUUUAUUGCAUAAAUUUUGCAGCAGAUGCUAUCGCUCAUAUAUGAGUUAGAAAUGGGCCACCAGGUUAUUUAACAUAUGGCAAGUACGAGUUUAGGGGUGCUUAGUCAGCAGUGUUCGGGCACUCGUCACGAUCCAUGGGUUUGGGUCAUGACAUAUAUUCUACUAUAUAUUGAAGGUUCUUGCUUCUGUUGUUCUAUGCUUAAACCUAAUGAGGACGUGGUCACCAAAGUCAUGACACUAGUUUGAUAAACCUUUAAGCUUACAUUAAUCCUGUUGAAUGUAGUAGAACAUCAAAAGGUUGUGAUAUCUAUUAGAAUUAUUUGAAGCAAUUGUAUUUGUUUCAUAAGAAUGUGAAAUUUGUUUUUUUUUUCUUUUUCUCUUUCCUGAAUCUGUUCUUGUGUAGGCUUGCAUACUUGUUUGAUGUCAACUAAGGGACAUGAGUUUGUGAUUGGGGUAAAACAUGGGAAGGGAUUAUGAUCAAUUUAGAAUAGAACUUAGGGGAACUAGGCAUGUCUAUAAGAAAUCUGUGACAUUUGGCUAAAGCAUUUAGAGUUAAGUUUGCCUGCACUUGUGUGGGUCUGAACCUUCCCA